GGGCGUGUGGCUCAGCUGGGAGAGCAUCUGGUUCGCAAUCAGAGGGUCACGGGUUCGAAUCCCGUCACGUCCACCA
RNAcentral lists this transfer RNA (76 nucleotides) under Thermovenabulum gondwanense. Its description in RNAcentral is "tRNA-Ala". It matches the Rfam family "tRNA". Rfam says of the family: Transfer RNA (tRNA) molecules are approximately 80 nucleotides in length. Their secondary structure includes four short double-helical elements and three loops (D, anti-codon, and T loops). Lineage: Bacteria; Bacillati; Bacillota; Clostridia; Thermosediminibacterales; Thermosediminibacteraceae. RNAcentral also lists the same sequence under 1 other name. The record is from RNAcentral.